RNAcentral lists this long non-coding RNA (334 nucleotides) under Vulpes vulpes (red fox). Its description in RNAcentral is "lncRNA (ENSVVUG00000013418.1)". The record is from RNAcentral. Lineage: Eukaryota; Metazoa; Chordata; Mammalia; Carnivora; Canidae.
CUGGCUGCCUCAGAUCUUCCUCUUCUCAUCUAUGCAGCAGAAGAAAUUAUGUUGCGUGAAUAUCAGCAUGAAAUGGGUAAAUGCCUCUAAAGCCUCUGACAAUGUUUUCCAACCAAAAGGUUUUAACUUGAAACUUUCUCAUAAAAAAGGCUUCUACUGGUUGUCGCUUUCAGGUACCUUGAAGAAAUCAUUCUUUCCAACAUCACAUAAAAGAUGAAAUUCAUGUUCCAAUUUGACAGUGAUGGAAGAGAAUGGUCAAUUAUUUUUAUGUAUUUAACUUUAGAGUUAUUACUUUAUUAUAAAAUCACCUAAAUAAAAAUUCUUUAUUCUUUCA